GUGCAUGCAAGAAAAAGGGUCCUCAUGCUUUCUUUCUGUCUGACUGUGGCAGCCAAGAUUGAAUGCAGAGUACAGUG
Molecule: small nucleolar RNA, 77 nt
Filed under: Pteropus vampyrus (large flying fox)
Lineage: Eukaryota; Metazoa; Chordata; Mammalia; Chiroptera; Pteropodidae
Description: Small nucleolar RNA SNORA31 (ENSPVAG00000029849.1)
Source: RNAcentral